GCAUUCUUGGUUUAGUGGUAAAAUCCGUCGUUGCCAAGCUGAAUCGACGGGCCCCGUGUUCGAUUCACGGAGAAUGCA
Molecule: non-coding RNA, 78 nt
Organism: Vermiconidia calcicola
Lineage: Eukaryota; Fungi; Ascomycota; Dothideomycetes; Mycosphaerellales; Extremaceae
Source: the annotation of a GenBank genome assembly